UUACUAACACUGGUUCUCGUAUGAUCACUGAAGUUAAGCAAUGUCAAACCUGGUCAGUAUAUAGAUGGGUGACUGCUUGGGAAUACUAGGUGCUGUAA
Acanthosepion pharaonis is the source of this 98-nucleotide non-coding RNA. NCBI's taxonomy places the organism in Eukaryota, Metazoa, Mollusca, Cephalopoda, Sepiida, Sepiidae. The record is from the annotation of a GenBank genome assembly.